This 374-nucleotide transfer-messenger RNA is filed under the name Canibacter oris. Its description in RNAcentral is "Standard tmRNA". It matches the Rfam family "transfer-messenger RNA". From Rfam's summary of the family: Bacterial tmRNA, also known as 10Sa RNA or SsrA, is named for its dual tRNA and mRNA-like properties. Its role is to liberate the mRNA from a stalled ribosome. Lineage: Bacteria; Bacillati; Actinomycetota; Actinomycetes; Micrococcales; Microbacteriaceae. The record is from Rfam by way of RNAcentral.
GGGGCCGAUCGGUUUCGACACGUUGAUUUGAGACUGUGAGAAGCGUGCCGAGAAUGCAAGUCAUCUCGUAAACGUGCUUGCAAAAAAUAGGUGCAAACUCUAAACGCGCCGACUUCGCACUUGCUGCUUAAGCAGGGCGGUUAAAAAGUCCGUCACCCGUGGGUUCGUCUUCGCCCCGCGGCUGGCGUCAUCUUAGAAGACUAGCUGCUGCGUCGCGCCUCAGGGCGCAGCGGGACUUUUCACUGCGGCUGGGUCUGUCGUCCAAGGUGUUCGUAACAAUGGACGGGAUCGAGCAAAACGUCUAACGAACUACGCACGUAGAAGGCACAGAAUCAUCAACGUGGACCCGGGUUCGAUUCCCGGCGGCUCCACUU